RNAcentral lists this long non-coding RNA (485 nucleotides) under Rattus norvegicus (Norway rat). RNAcentral describes it as "long non-coding RNA NONRATT026740". Lineage: Eukaryota; Metazoa; Chordata; Mammalia; Rodentia; Muridae. The record is from RNAcentral.
GCGGCGGCGCGGGGCGGGGAGGCGCGGCCGGGCCGAGAGCGAAGAAAGAGCGAGCCGGGCCGGGGAAGAGGCGCCGCGCCCGGUCCCGUGCUCGCUCGGCGGCGGACGAGGAUGUGCCCGGCUCCUGCUUUGCUCGCGUCCUCCCUAAGACGAUUUCCAUAGUAACCCGAUCAAGUGGCUCAGGACCGCAAACCUGAGGAUUUCGGCGGCCCGCCGGCGUUGACCUCGGCCAGCACGAGAAUAACUAUGAAACCAGCAACGUGGCUACCUUAACCUGGUUGUUUUCAGAGCCGUCCUCAUCCAUCAACAUAUUUGUUUCCCGAGUCUAUUGAUCUCCAUGGAUUGUGCAGAAAUGCAUUGUAAGCUGGGCGACUGUACGUCAGAAUCGGACUUCUGCAGCUCUAAGUACCACAUGUAUUGUAAAGGCAGUAUGAAUUUUGAAAUCUGAAUAAGCCAUGGGUAUAAAUAAAUACAUCUUUGAAAAA